ACAGAGGCCUCGAGCGUUGCGCGGAAUCACUGGGCUUAAAGGGUGCGUAGGCGGAUAUACAAGUGCCUUGUGAAAUCCCCGGGCUCAACCCGGGAACUGCUUGGUAGACUGUAUGUCUUGAGGUCGGUAGGGGUUGCUGGAACAGUUGGUGGAGCGGUGAAAUGCGUAGAUAUCAACUGGAACGCCAAAGGCGAAGGCAAGCAACUGGGCCGAUUCUGACGCUGAGGCACGAAAGCGUGGGGAGCAAACGGG
This 252-nucleotide ribosomal RNA is filed under the name uncultured bacterium. Its description in RNAcentral is "partial 16S ribosomal RNA". It matches the Rfam family "Bacterial small subunit ribosomal RNA", at positions 525 to 776 of the family's 1533-position model. The record is from RNAcentral.